Non-coding RNA from Malus domestica (apple), 1280 nucleotides. Lineage: Eukaryota; Viridiplantae; Streptophyta; Magnoliopsida; Rosales; Rosaceae. The record is from RefSeq and is a predicted model, not a curated record.
UGUAGCUUAGCUACAGUCAAUUGGUUGCCACUCGAUUUCACUCUAUUUACCACAAUACCAACCAAAUGGCGCUGGUUGGGAGGGUAAUUAUCAAAAGUUGGGAGGGUAAUUUUGGCUCUGAACAGAUUUGCAUUAUUUACGUUUCUACCAUUAUGUGUGGCUGUGCUUCAGACAGAACUCACAGAUUUGUGGAGGGAUUUCAGGGAGAGGCGUGGGAUGGCAGGGAGGGGAAGGGGGAGAUGAGUGAGGCUGCCAAAAAGUGGGGUUAGUAUUGAUUUUUUCUCCUCAAAUCAAGGGUGUCGCUGAUUGAGAGAUUGAGAGGGAUGGGGGAAAGAGACAGAAACACAGCCAUUUGGCCUUCAUUUUCCCCUUUUUCAAACCCUAGCAGCCAGAACCCCAAAACUGAGCUCACUUCUACAAUAACAUCGGCUCUUGCUUCCCAAAACCACACAAACCUUCCCUUCAUUUCUGUUACAGGUAGCUGAAAGAUAUUCUUGGGGAUGGAGAAGACGAUGGUGGCACGACGGUUGGGUCGUUUGUGCAGGUCACUGUUUUGGAGAUUUACCAUGAGGAGAUUUAUGAUUUGUUGUCGAGCAAUGGCGGCUGAGGAUUCGGGUUUGGAUGGCCAAAGAGCAAUGGCUCCAAUUCUAAGCUGCCAGUAGCAAUUUUCCCAAUACACAUGCCCUCGAUGCAGCUUACGCUACUGUUCCCUGCACCGCUACAAGGAAGAAUUGUUUAAAAAGCUCAUCAUCUAUAUGAUCGGGCAAAAGUGCACUUGGUGGUAAGGUGAUGGCAACUUUGGGCGUUGAUGAAGUAUCGAUCCAAGGCUCGAACGCCGUCGUCUUCCGAAGUCCUCAGUAAUAAAGUGAGUGGCACUUUUUCUCAAUGGAAGAUGAUAGUUCAAAUGUGUCAAUGGUUCUGGAAAUGUGAUUACAAGUUUCCGUAUAUUCAAUCCACCAACAACAUUUCUAUGCACACAACUCAGACACAUGGAUAUGUUCCAAUCUCUGCGACAAGCACUACUGUGAGGCCACUACCAUAUGCGAAUAUCUUCAUACAUGUCAGUUCCCUUUCUCACCCUCUUCAUGUUUUAUCCAAUAUUAUGUUUUUUAUCUGAUUUCAUGUGUUUUCUUGACGCUUUUGGUUGUCCAAGAUUUCUAAGUUUUUGUAUAAGAAUAUAAGAACAAAACUGCACAUCGAGGAGUUUAUGAUGAACUUUUUGGAGUGUCGGUAACACUUCUCUUUGGGAAUAUGUAAAUCUACUAAUCAUUGUUUGAUAA